Molecule: transfer RNA, 77 nt
Filed under: Fibrella sp. ES10-3-2-2
Lineage: Bacteria; Pseudomonadati; Bacteroidota; Cytophagia; Cytophagales; Spirosomataceae
Also listed under: 14 other names
Description: tRNA-Asp
Rfam family: tRNA
About the family: Transfer RNA (tRNA) molecules are approximately 80 nucleotides in length. Their secondary structure includes four short double-helical elements and three loops (D, anti-codon, and T loops).
Source: RNAcentral
GGUUCGGUAGUUCAGUUGGUUAGAAUGCCGCCCUGUCACGGCGGAGGUCGCGGGUUCGAGUCCCGUCCGGACCGCCA